CCCAAACCCCUGUGAACAUACCAAUUGUUGCCUCGGCGGAUCAGCCCGCUCCCGGUAAAACGGGACGGCCCGCCAGAGGACCCCUAAACUCUGUUUCUAUAUGUAACUUCUGAGUAAAACCAUAAAUAAAUCAAAACUUUCAACAACGGAUCUCUUGGUUCUGGCAUCGAUGAAGAACGCAGCAAAAUGCGAUAAGUAAUGUGAAUUGCAGAAUUCAGUGAAUCAUCGAAUCUUUGAACGCACAUUGCGCCCGCCAGUAUUCUGGCGGGCAUGCCUGUUCGAGCGUCAUUUCAACCCUCAAGCCCCCGGGUUUGGUGUUGGGGAUCGGCGAGCCCUUGCGGCAAGCCGGCCCCGAAAUCUAGUGGCGGUCUCGCUGCAGCUUCCAUUGCGUAAUAGUAAAACCCUCGCAACUGGUACGCGGCGCGGCCAAUCCGUUAAACCCCCAACUUCUGAAUGUUGACCUCGGAUCAGGUAGGAAUACCCGCUGAACUUAACCAUAUCAAUACACGUACGAAAG
This 517-nucleotide ribosomal RNA is filed under the name Fusarium proliferatum. RNAcentral describes it as "eukaryotic LSU rRNA". The stretch from base 135 to 288 matches the Rfam family "5.8S ribosomal RNA". The record is from RNAcentral. Lineage: Eukaryota; Fungi; Ascomycota; Sordariomycetes; Hypocreales; Nectriaceae.